RNAcentral lists this ribosomal RNA (451 nucleotides) under uncultured bacterium. Its description in RNAcentral is "partial 16S ribosomal RNA". It matches the Rfam family "Bacterial small subunit ribosomal RNA", at positions 29 to 523 of the family's 1533-position model. The record is from RNAcentral.
AACGAACGCUGGCGGCAGGUCUUAGGCAUGCAAGUCGAACGGGUGUAGUAAUACACCAGUGGCGAACGAGUGAGUAACGCGUGGGAAUCUGCCCAUCUCUGGGGAAUAACGUUUGGAAACGAACGCUAAUACCGCAUACGCCCGCAAGGUGAAAGAUUUAUCGGAGAUGGAUGAGCCCGCGUUGGGUUAGUUAGUUGGUGGGGUAACGGCCUACCAAGGCGAUGAUCCAUAGCUGGUCUGAGAGGACGAUCAGCCACGCUGGAACUGAGAUACGGUCCAGACUCAUACGGGAGGCAGCAGCUAAGAAUAUUGGGCAAUGGAGGAAACUCUGACCCAGCCAUGCCGCGUGAAUGAAGAAGGCCUUCGGGUUGUAAAGUUCUUUUAGUCGUGACGAUGAUGACGGUAGCGACAGAAAAAGCACCGGCUAACUUCGUGCCAGCCGCCGCCGUAA